CCUACGGGCGGCAGCAGUGGGGAAUAUUGGGCAAUGGAGGAAACUCUGACCCAGCAACGCCGCGUGAAUGAUGAAGGUCUUCGGAUUGUAAAGUUCUUUUCUAAGGGAAGAAGAAAGUGACGGUACCCUAGGAAUAAGCCUCGGCAAACUACGUGCCAGCACACGCGGUAAUACGUAGGAGCGAGCGCUAUCCGGAAUGACUGGGCGUAAAGGGUGCGUAGGUGGUUCGGCAAGUGAGUAGCGUAACUCCAGGGCUCAACCUUGGAACUACUACUAAAACUGUUGGACUGGAGUGCAGGAGAGGCAACCGGAAUUCCUGGUGUAGCGGUGGAAUGCGUAGAUAUUGGGAGGAACACCAGUGGCGAAGGCGGGUUGCUGGACUGUAACUGACGCUGAGGCACGAAAGCGUGGGGAGCAAACAGGAUUAGAUACCCGGGUAGUC
This 442-nucleotide ribosomal RNA is filed under the name uncultured bacterium. Its description in RNAcentral is "partial 16S ribosomal RNA". It matches the Rfam family "Bacterial small subunit ribosomal RNA", at positions 338 to 795 of the family's 1533-position model. The record is from RNAcentral.